UGAGGGAGGCCUGCAGGGGACAGAGAGCACAGGGCCCUGGGAACCCACAGAACCUGAAUAGGACGCGGGCGACCAGGAGUCUCCCCUGGCAACGCCAACCCUCAGUGUUCAGAGAUGUCCAGGAAGACCUUGCCGGCAGGAUUAUCCAUGCACGCGGCACUGCUCAAAGCAGAGGCCAACUCUCAUGCAGGUCUCUACCCUGGUGCCUUCUCAGAGCUGCCACAGAGGAGGUGCUCCACGGGUGUUUUUAAAGGAAUCGCCAUGAAGAAAUAAGGUGUCGGGGACUGACACGUGGAUUCUCUCCAGCACAUCAACUCACGGCACUUUCUGAAGGGCCCGGGCCACGGAGCCUGAAGACCCAGCUGGUUCGACGUCUCUCUCUGCCUCUCUUUCUCAUUAACUCUCAUCCUUUCUCUCUCUCUCUCUUUCCCCUCCCUCUACCCCCAGAGGAGGGCCUUUUCCAGAACACUUAACCUCUCUGCGCCUGCUUCCCAAUGAGUGAAACAAGAGAAUCCCACGAAAUCAUAAAUGAGUGAGUCUUGUAAACUGUAACUCAUCAGGCAAGGGCUGGUUAUUGUAACGGCGUGGCCCCGUUGUUCGCCAGGGCAGCAGCCAUGCUGCGGGAAACUGCAAACUCAGCAAAGCGAACGGUGGUGUUUGCUGAGUGGACACGGUCUCUGCCACCAAGUCUUCCUGGGAAGGCCUCGGAGGGGUGAGGGAAGCCCACAUGGGGAGCCUCUGCCGUUUCCAAAAAGGAGCCUGCAAUUCCGGAGCCUGCAUCUCCACUGGGAUCUGUGCCUGUGUCUGCCCCCUGGGUCUUUCUUUGAGGUUUUUCAUCCUCCUGUGAUGAUUGGUGGGGGGAUGGAGAUAAGUGUCCUGUCCCCGCCCCCAGAAGAGCAAUCUCUCUACAAAACUCUUUCAGAAGCAGCCUGGGCGGAUCUGACUGCUGAGGCAUUGAUGCCCAGGAGCUGUCUGUGCAGGCAGGUGGGUGGAGGAAGCUGGCGGCCCCUAAGACCCCAGCCCUGGUGAUGCCCACUGUGGGGGCCUUAGGCAGGCCUGGGCUUACAGUCCGUCUCAGCUCAACUUGGACACAUGCCGUCUUUUCUUCAUCCUCCUCUUCUUGAAAGGCUUGUUUAUUCAGCUGGAAAAUAGACGUUUUUCAGCAGAUUUUCUCUAUUCAGAAAUAGACUAAAGCUUCUGCUGGAGUCUGGCAUUAUCCCAGAGAAUGGAGACCCACGGGCCUUCAGCAGUGCACCGCCCUCAGGGAAGUCAUCCAGUUUGGGCAUCCUGACUCGGUUCUCCCACAGUGUCCUUCUCAUCUGCUGUAGCCGAGGUCAGGGAGAAGGCCCUGGGUGGUGUCUGGGCUGAGAGGGUCAAUUGUGCCACCUGCUUCAGACGCCCCAUGGGCUGGCGACUCUUCUGGUCUUUAGUGCUGACACCCACAGGCCUGGCUCACAGUGGGUGCUGGGUCAGGGCUGGUGGAGAACAAUAGUGCUGAGCCAGGACCCGCCCAUGUGUUAGAGAAAGGCAGCAGCUUGGAAACCUGUAGGUGGGUCUUCCAUCCACUAAGUCACCAAGAACUAGGAGCCUGCAGCCAGUUGAGAGGAUUCUUGAGGUGCUCUGCCCCCAGCUGGGGCCCUGAGCCCCCACGAGCCUUCCGCCUGGGGCAUCUGAUGACUCACGUGCACCACAGCACAGCAGCCCAGUGGGCUGGGAGUUGGGAGCUGGAAGAUGAAAGCCACCCACUCUUAUCUGCCUCCGAGGAGUCGCAAUCAAGAGGGAGGAUGCCCCCAUAAGAAAUGCAGAUUCUGUGACCUUCAGAGGCAGCUGGAGAAAGAAAAGAUGGAGGAGAUCACGGCCCAGCAAUUCCAGCCUGGGGCGGGCGCGGGCUCAAUGAUAUCCUUCAGGUCCUAAUCCCCGAGUGUGGCUGUGUGUGACCCGAGUCCCUUCUGCCUGCCAGGAGUGAGGCCACCUGAGGUCGCAGAAAGGACUGGGGAGGAGACAGGCGCAGGGUGAUCCGGAUCCCAUAUUUAAUUGAUGGUAAGGAGGCCUCCUCACUUCUCCCUGAGCCUGACAAACAUGGCUAACCUCCUUUGGAGAAAGUUCUGUGAAUAAUGUGUCUGCCGCAGGCUGGCGAAGUACAGUGUUCUCCAGAAAUCCAGUGGUCUGCACCAUCAGUGUCCUGGGCUCGCUGCCUCUGGAGACUCCCACGCCCCCAGCCAAAGCCGGAACCCUCCCCUGAAGCCUCUGCCAUGGCCUGUCCUGCCUUGGGGAGGUGGAGACCCUCGGCGUGCUGGUGUCCCACCUCACUGUGCCUCUCAGCUUCUUUGUUUCUGCCCAAAAUACAGGCUCCUGAGUAGCCUCCUGUGGGUGUCCUGGGACUGUCACCUGCCCUCUUUCAGCCAGGUGGGCUCAAACGUCAGGGGCACCAUCUCUGGUCCAGAUUGGGGUCUCUCUCGGUUCAUUUAUCCAGGAUCUUUUGGCAAAAAGAGAAAGACCAAGGAUUAUCCCCUUUCAGGAGAGCUCAGCCUGCUUUUUCGGGCUCUUCAAGGCCCAUCCAUUCAUGCACGGAGAAAUAACACGAAUGCUGGUGUGGAAAUGAUGCCCGGAUACCUUUCCAAAGGCUCCAUAGCCCACUCUUCCAGUAUCCAUCCUGGUCAUGCAGGCGCUGACCCACAUGUUUCUGGAUUAGGAAGGAAAGCAAAGGCCAGGAGGCGGAGGCUGACCCCUUUAUCUUCUGAUAAACCCGAGAGCAGAACAGCCUCAACAAGGACGAUUACAGCAGGGAAAUGGCAUUCCUGGCCAGUGGACAAGCACCUCCUUUAACCUACAGCUCAGAGCCUCACUUUGACUUGCCUCCUGUGGGGUGCUGGUCAGUAGGGGCUGAAUUCUGGGGUGCUAGGCAUCCCUCCACCAUGCAGGCCCCACAAAAGCAGCCGAGGAGGGAGAGUGCUAGGAAGCAGACAGCCACACAGACCACUGGGCUCCAUCAGGCCUCUCACUGCAGGAAGCACAGGCCAGCAAGGCCAGAGUUAAUUUCUCAGAAUAAUUGCUAAUAAUACAAAUCAACCUUUCUGGGCACUGAGUACACACCAGGCCCUGUGCUAAGCGCUUCUAACCUAAGCGUCACCUCAUUGCCUGCUAAUACCCUCUCUAGGAAAUAGGGACUACUAUAAGUCCUGCCCACAGACAUGAAAACCACAGCUGUGGGUUGACCCUCUCUGCGUCUGUAUCUAAUACUGCACCUGUUUUCUAUGAAAUCAGGACAAUAUGAUUCAUAGGGCAAAAUGAUUAUUUGUUACACAUGGAGAAAAACAAAAGCUCAAAGUAUGUUUUCUGAAGGAGAAACAAAAUCCAGACAUUUUCCAAGCUUCAAGUGUGAAUAUACUUACAUGGAUGAAAGAUUUAAAGAAUAACAAUAAAAAACCCUUAAUGGUAAAAAUUUGUUGACUCAGCAUGUUUCAGAUGUAGCCACGGUGAGCUGGCCUCUUUGGAGACAGCUUUGCUUGUUAAAGAGAAAAGGAUGCAAAGGGCUUGCUUUUUAUCUCAGUUGGUGAAGGUUGGAGCUGAAUGUUUUGAACAAAAGUAAUUGCCUAUGUCUAAAUGUAAAAUCAC
RNAcentral lists this long non-coding RNA (3615 nucleotides) under Homo sapiens (human). RNAcentral describes it as "HSALNT0169894". The record is from RNAcentral. Lineage: Eukaryota; Metazoa; Chordata; Mammalia; Primates; Hominidae.